AACGAACGCUGGCGGCAGGCUUAACACAUGCAAGUCGAGCGCCCCGCAAGGGGAGCGGCAGACGGGUGAGUAACGCGUGGGAAUCUACCUUUUGCUACGGAACAACAGUUGGAAACGACUGCUAAUACCGUAUGUGCCCUUCGGGGGAAAGAUUUAUCGGCAAAGGAUGAGCCCGCGUUGGAUUAGCUAGUUGGUGAGGUAAAGGCUCACCAAGGCGACGAUCCAUAGCUGGUCUGAGAGGAUGAUCAGCCACACUGGGACUGAGACACGGCCCAGACUCCUACGGGAGGCAGCAGUGGGGAAUAUUGGACAAUGGGCGCAAGCCUGAUCCAGCCAUGCCGCGUGAGUGAUGAAGGCCCUAGGGUUGUAAAGCUCUUUCACCGGUGAAGAUAAUGACGGUAACCGGAGAAGAAGCCCCGGCUAACUUCGUGCCAGCCGCCGCCGUAACAC
This 450-nucleotide ribosomal RNA is filed under the name uncultured bacterium. RNAcentral's name for it is "bacterial SSU rRNA". It matches the Rfam family "Bacterial small subunit ribosomal RNA", at positions 29 to 526 of the family's 1533-position model. The record is from RNAcentral.